RNAcentral lists this long non-coding RNA (1570 nucleotides) under Strongylocentrotus purpuratus (purple sea urchin). RNAcentral describes it as "uncharacterized LOC115926619". Lineage: Eukaryota; Metazoa; Echinodermata; Echinoidea; Camarodonta; Strongylocentrotidae. The record is from RNAcentral.
UUUUUAUUUUCAAAAUGAACUUCUUUCGAUAAAGGGAAAGGUAAUAGAUAACGUAGUUCAUUAAUAGGUACAGACAGCAUUCAAGGCCCCUGUUGAUCCUACUCGUGCGAAUAGUAUAUAUGACAUUAUUAUUUAAUAAAACUUUGGCCUCAAAAUCAAUAUAGCCAAGACAGAGGUCCAGGACAUCAGCAAGCGGCAGCAGUACAUUAACAUCAGCAUAGGUGAAACCGAACUGCUACAGGUGGAAAUAGUUGUUUACCUGGGAGUUACCAUCACUCAAUCAGGAAAAUGCACGGAGGACAUACAGAAUAGGAUUGGAAAAGCCAUAUGUGCUGUUCAAAAUCUUCACAGCAUAUUGACAGCAAAAGAAAUUAGAGGUGCAUCAAAGCUUAAACUACUGGAUUGAUUGCAUAAAGGCUGAUUGUGCUACCAGAUGUCUAGGAUCCCUAACAGAAACGACCAGAACAUCACAAGAUAAGAAGAUCUGGCUGGAGGUCAUGAAGCAGAAGCCAUCACACAUCUCCCAGAUGGUGUGGAAGGCUUAGGUCAAGACCGCAGCCGGAGAAAUAUUUUGAGAAUGGUGAUCAGUUUUCUGAGGUCAUGAAGCGCAGACACAGUGGAGAGAUAAACAUCGAUGACAGAUCUCAUUCCAAGUCGCUUCCUGAGCAUCACGGGGACUACUCGACCUCUUUUAAAUCACCUUGAUCAGUGAUCAUCCAACAAAUUCAACGAAAGAUAGAGAGGAGAGAAGGGAGGAAGAGAGAUCAAGAGAGAAAGAGAGAGAGAGAGGGGGGCAGAAAGUAUGAUGAUGUGAGUGGGGAGAGAGUGUGGGUUAGAGAGUGGGUUUAAGGAUGGUACGUGCGUGUGUGUGCUAAAGUGUGUGCGUAUAUACUCAAUUUAUUAUUUGGGUCCAGCAUGACCAGGUCCUCAUGGUCAUUGCAUAUGACCGAUUUUGUGUUGUCCAACGAAUUAUCAUAACCCUCCACCUUCGUCGGACCCCACGGGCUUUGAUCAUUGGGCUAUCCAUGAACUUACUAAAAAUAUAUGGGGUAUGAUGAAGGAUUAUUUAGCCUUCAAGAUUCCUUCACAUCAGGAGUCAGCUGAAAGGGCGUUGUAGUUAAACUGACAUAAACGUCACAACGAGAUUGUCUGCAAAACAUAGCGCUAUGAGUAGAAGAAAAUGUUUACUGUGUUUAUGUUCUGAAAGCAUACUGGCUUAUCGCUGGAACAACACAUUUGUUUUUGUAAUGGUGAAAUAUGUAAAAUAGUUGUUGAUUGAGUACCAUAUCAACAAUCAUAUAUGAAAUCAAAUACACAAACUGAUGGAGAAGCACAAUGACGGGAAAGAGUUUAUUUUCACCGCACGCAAAGACGGGUGAACUUUAUGGUCUUUAUUCUGCUAAUUCAGUAAUACAAUGGAUAUAGUAUAGACAUUUAGUAAAAUGUUAGCCUAUAUGCUUAAUUUUACCAUCGAUAAUAUUACGAACCACUCUUUUGUGUUAGUGCAUUAAUAUAAUUCUACACGAAGUGACGAACAAUCACAGGAAGUAAAGAGAAUCUAUAUUUAAGA